GUGGAUUAGAUACCCUGGUAGUCCACGCCGUAAACGAUGUCGACUAGCCGUUGGAGACCUUAGAGUCUUUAGUGGCGCAGCUAACGCACUAAGUCGACCGCCUGGGGAGUACGGCCGCAAGGUUAAAACUCAAAUGAAUUGACGGGGGCCCGCACAAGCGGUGGAGCAUGUGGUUUAAUUCGAUGCAACGCGAAGAACCUUACCGCCCCUUGACAUCCUGCGAACUUUCUAGAGAUAGAUUGGUGCCUUCGGGAGCGCAGAGACAGGUGCUGCACGGCUGUCGACAACU
RNAcentral lists this ribosomal RNA (289 nucleotides) under uncultured bacterium. RNAcentral describes it as "partial 16S ribosomal RNA". It matches the Rfam family "Bacterial small subunit ribosomal RNA", at positions 773 to 1060 of the family's 1533-position model. The record is from RNAcentral.